RNAcentral lists this ribosomal RNA (253 nucleotides) under uncultured bacterium. RNAcentral's name for it is "partial 16S ribosomal RNA". It matches the Rfam family "Bacterial small subunit ribosomal RNA", at positions 524 to 776 of the family's 1533-position model. The record is from RNAcentral.
UACGUAGGGCGCAAGCGUUGUCCGGAAUUAUUGGGCGUAAAGAGCUCGUAGGCGGUUUGUCGCGUCUGUCGUGAAAGCUUGGGGCUUAACCCCAAGUCUGCGGUGGAUACGGGCAGACUAGAGGCAGGUAGGGGAGAACGGAAUUCCCGGUGUAGCGGUGAAAUGCGCAGAUAUCGGGAGGAACACCGGUGGCGAAGGCGGUUCUCUGGGCCUGUACUGACGCUGAGGAGCGAAAGCGUGGGGAGCAAACGGG